CCAGAGGGUACAAAACGUCACUGCAUUGCUGCAGUGCUGCCACUGUUCCUUCUGCAAUGCUGACAUUUUGAAUGAAUGGCUGUGCAGCAUUGCCCAUUGCAGACUGCUGGAAGGCUCCAGGAGGGACUCGGCUCCCACUGUGUGAUGGCUGUGUGAGUGGCAUACUUUGCUGAAGUGCGUCCAGAUCCUUUUUUGGGAAGCUGGGAGGCGUCUCCUUGCUGUGAGGACCAUAUCUGGCAACUGAACAGGGAUUACCUGAGCAGAGGAGCUAGUAACUACUAUAACUGGCAGAGUGAUGGCAAAAAUCCUGGUGCAGGGAACAAAUGGACGCUGCUGAAAAGAGAAAGAAAAAAAGAUGGAGAAGAAGAAAAGAAAUGAUGCUGGGAGCUGGCAAAAGCUUUUCACUCUGAGUUCUGGAGCAGGAGAAACGCUUGCUGGGAAAAAAAGACUGCAACUGGAGGUACGCUGCAGCUCUCCUUUUUUGCUGCUGGAAAGAAGUUAAUAAAUGCAGUCACAAUACAAGCCCCCUUUUGGAGCAUACGACUCUUUGCAAGAAGGAGAGCAGAGAGUACGUGGCUACUCCUCUGCAGCUGUGUUUCCAAGUCAGCUGGUGCUUAUUUUCUAAUUGGGAACCACAACAGCAUAUGGGCUCACCUUUGGAGCUCUUCUUUUUGCUCCUCAUGUCCAUUGUAAUCAUUGACUCCAGAUGGGCGUUGACGUUCCUAAUACCAUCCUUACAUGGACAGGACUUUCAUAUGUCCUUCCCGAGACUAAGAAACAAAGAAAAAUAAGAAACAAGGGGAAUUCACCAGGGAAUCUGGAAAAAAUGGG
This is a long non-coding RNA of Gallus gallus (chicken), 831 nucleotides long. Lineage: Eukaryota; Metazoa; Chordata; Aves; Galliformes; Phasianidae. The record is from Ensembl.